This 2467-nucleotide ribosomal RNA is filed under the name human oral metagenome. RNAcentral describes it as "bacterial LSU rRNA". It matches the Rfam family "Bacterial large subunit ribosomal RNA", at positions 14 to 2303 of the family's 2925-position model. The record is from RNAcentral.
AGGGCACAUAAUGGAUGCCUAGACGUAUAUUACCGAUGAAGGACGUGGAAGACUGCGAUAAGCUUCGGGUAGCUGUCAACAAGCUUUGAUCCGGAGAUUUCCGAAUGGGGAAACCCAACACGAGUCAUGUCGUGUUACCCUUGUCUGAAUACAUAGGACAUGAGGCGGGAACCAUCUGAACUGAAACAUCUUAGUAGGAUGAGGAAAAGAAAGUAAAUAACGAUUACGAAAGUAGUGGCGAGCGAAAUCGUAAGAGCCCAAACCUUAUAGAUUUUUAUUUAUAUAAAUAAGCUGAUAGGCGAAUAUCUAUGAGGGGUUGUGAUAUCACAUAUGACCAAGUCAGAGCAUUUGAUUAGUUCAAAUAAUCUGAUUUGCGAUAAUUGUCUAUCAACAAUUAGUAAGGUAAGAAAAUUGCGUGGUUAGCAGAAUAGUUUGAAUGACUAGCCAAAGAACGUGAAAGCCGUGUACGCGAAAACGACGCUGACCUUAUGUAUGUUUUAUCGAGUAGGACGGGGCACGAGAAACCCUGUUUGAAUCUGGCUGGACCACCAGCCAAGGCUAAAUAUAAUAUACGAUCGAUAGUGAACUAGUACAGUGAUGGAAAGGUGAAAAGAACCCCGGGAGGGGAGUGAAAUAGAUCCUGAAAUUUAGUGCCUACAAGGAGUCGGAGCCGGCUUGUCCGGUGACGGCGUGCUUUUUGUAGAACGAUCCAGCGAGUUAAUUUCGUGCGCAAGGUUAAGUUAGUUAACGGAGCCACAGUGAAAGCGAGCCUGAAUAGGGCGUUUAGUGUACGGAAUUAGACCCGAAACCGGGUGACCUAACCAUGAGCAGGUUGAAGCUACUGUAACAGGUAGUGAAGGACCGAACCAGGAUACGCAGCAAAGUGUUUGGAUGACUUGUGGUUAGCGGUGAAAUGCCAAUCGAACUCGGAGAUAGCUGGUUCUCCUCGAAAUAGCUUUAGGGCUAGCGUCAUGUUAGUAAUGUAUGGGGGUAGAGCUCUGUAAAGGAUUGGGGCGGGCAACUGUACCCACCCUUAACAAACUACGAAUACCAUAUAUGUAAUCAUGGCAGUUAGAACAUCGGUGCUAAGAUCGGUGCUCAAAAGGGAAACAGCCCAGACCAUCAUCUAAGGUCCCUAAAUAUACAUUAAGUGGGAAACAAGGUGAAAUUUCUUAAACAGCGAGGAUGUUGGCUUAGAAGCAGCCAUUCAUUUAAAGAGUGCGUAACAGCUCACUCGUCAAGAGAUUUUGCGUGGAAAAUGUAACGGGGCUAAAUGUAUUACCGAAGAUAUGGAUUAUUACAUUAGUAAUAGUGGUAGAGGAGCGUUCCUAUCAGCAGUGAAGCAGUAUUGAAAAGUAUUGUGGAGCGGUAGGAAGUGAGAAUGCUGGAAUGAGUAACCAUAAGAUAGGUGAGAAUCCUGUCGGCCGUAAGAGCAAGGUUUCCUGAGCUAUGGUAAUCAUCUCAGGGUUAGUCGGGCCUAAGCCGAGGCGCAGAGCGUAGGCGAUGGACAUCAGGUUAAUAUUCCUGAACCGGUUAAGUUUUGUACACUGUUCACGGGGAAGUAAUCGAAGCGGAUUCAUGGUUUAUCCGUCCAACCGAGCGGGAACGCAAAGGGAGUGAAAGUGAUUCUUCGGAGUCGCGAUUUUGGUGAAAGCCCUGGCUAGAAAAGCAGGUGUACGCGUGGACUUAGCCGCCCGUACCGCAAACCAACACAGGUGCUCGAGUCGAGUAGACUCAGGCUUACGAGCGAACCUUCGCUAAGGAACUCGGCAAUACAGCGACCGUAACUUCGGGAUAAGGUCUGCCCCCACUUCGGUGGAUAUCAGCCGCGUUCACUCAGUGAAUAAUAGGUUAAAGAGUACAUUUUUAAUCACAAAACGAAUUUUCUGAGACACGAGCAAACAAAUUGCUCUUUGAACGCGAACCUCUUGUAUCUAACGAUGUGGGGGCCGCAGCAAAAGAGCCCACGGAACUGUUUAUCAAAAACACAGGUCUCUGCUAACACGAAAGUGGAUGUAUAGGGGCUGACUCCUGCCCGGUGCCGGAAGGUUAAGGGGAGUGCUUCACGGUGCAAACUGAAGCCCCGGUGAACGGCGGCGGUAACUAUAACCGUCCUAAGGUAGCGAAAUUCCUUGUCAGGUAAGUUCUGACCCGCACGAAUGGAGUAAUCAUGUGGGCACUGUCUCAGCGAAGGACUCGGUGAAAGUGCAUUGGCGGUAAAGAUGCCGUCUGUCCGUACCAGGACGAAAAGACCCCAUGGAGCUUUACUACAGCUUUACAUUGAAUACGGUUUCAACAUGUGUAGCAUAGGUGGGAGACGUUGAAGCAGAUACGCCAGUAUUUGUGGAGUCACCAAGUGAAAUACCACCCUUGUUGUGAUUGUGUUCUCACGCUGACCGUUAUCCGGUUAGCGGACCGUGUAUGGUGGGUAGUUUAACUGGGGCGGUUGCCUCCUAAAGAGUAGCGG